AACGCACAUUGCGCCCUAUGGUAUUCCGUAGGGCAUGCCUGUCUGAGCGUCAGCUCCCACACCCUCAAGCUUUUUUUUGCUUGGAUGACUUUGGAGAAGUAGUUGAAAUAGUACCACUCUCCAGAAAUUCAUAGGCAGUAUGGUUGCACCUGAACCAGACGUAAUAAAUCUUAUUCUUCCGUCUUUUCAAGGAGUUGAUUGUACUUGCCCUCAACCCACUCAAUAUCUUCUUGGGUGACCUCAGAUCAGGUAGGGAUACCCGCUGAACUUAA
This 272-nucleotide unclassified non-coding RNA is filed under the name uncultured fungus. RNAcentral's name for it is "partial contains 5.8S ribosomal RNA, internal transcribed spacer 2, and large subunit ribosomal RNA". The stretch from base 1 to 52 matches the Rfam family "5.8S ribosomal RNA", at positions 103 to 154 of the family's 154-position model. The record is from RNAcentral. Lineage: Eukaryota; Fungi.